RNAcentral lists this ribosomal RNA (253 nucleotides) under uncultured bacterium. RNAcentral describes it as "partial 16S ribosomal RNA". It matches the Rfam family "Bacterial small subunit ribosomal RNA", at positions 524 to 776 of the family's 1533-position model. The record is from RNAcentral.
UACGUAGGGCGCAAGCGUUGUCCGGAAUUAUUGGGCGUAAAGAGCUCGUAGGCGGUCUGUCGCGUCGGCUGUGAAAUCCCGAGGCUCAACCUCGGGUCUGCAGUCGAUACGGGCAAACUGGAGUGUUGCAGGGGAGACUGGAAUUCCUGGUGUAGCGGUGAAAUGCGCAGAUAUCAGGAGGAACACCGGUGGCGAAGGCGGGUCUCUGGGCAACAACUGACGCUGAGGAGCGAAAGCGUGGGGAGCGAACAGG